CGGGCUUGAAAUGUAGAGGAAUAAUCUGGAAACGGAUUAGCUAGCAAUAGUCUCUAUGUAGGUGCUGCAUGGUUGUCGUCAGCUCGUGCCGUGAGGUGUCGGCUUAAGUGCCAUAACGAGCGCAACCCACAUUGUUAGUUGCUAACAGGUCAAGCUGAGGACUCUGACAAGACUGCCAGCGUAAGCUGCGAGGAAGGUGUGGAUGACGUCAAAUCAGCCG
RNAcentral lists this ribosomal RNA (220 nucleotides) under uncultured bacterium. RNAcentral's name for it is "partial 16S ribosomal RNA". It matches the Rfam family "Bacterial small subunit ribosomal RNA", at positions 976 to 1197 of the family's 1533-position model. The record is from RNAcentral.